GGCUACGUAGCUCAGCCGGUGAGAGCGCACGACUCAUAAUCGUGAGGUCGGUGGUUCGAUCCCACCCGUAGCCACCA
This 77-nucleotide transfer RNA is filed under the name Ectothiorhodospiraceae bacterium AqS1. RNAcentral describes it as "tRNA-Met". It matches the Rfam family "tRNA". From Rfam's summary of the family: Transfer RNA (tRNA) molecules are approximately 80 nucleotides in length. Their secondary structure includes four short double-helical elements and three loops (D, anti-codon, and T loops). Lineage: Bacteria; Pseudomonadati; Pseudomonadota; Gammaproteobacteria; Chromatiales; Ectothiorhodospiraceae. RNAcentral also lists the same sequence under 4 other names. The record is from RNAcentral.